Small nucleolar RNA from Triplophysa rosa, 130 nucleotides. RefSeq annotates it as small nucleolar RNA SNORA17. The transcript has a single exon. NCBI's taxonomy places the organism in Eukaryota, Metazoa, Chordata, Actinopteri, Cypriniformes, Nemacheilidae. The record is from RefSeq and is a predicted model, not a curated record.
UUUGCCCCGUGAGACGGAACUCUGGCUGGCGUGCCAUUGUUGCGCUAUAUGUGGGCAGAAAGGAAAUGGCUUGUGAUCGACCCUGCUGUUCUGAACAGUGGACCAGGGGCUUGGAACAGGGCCGGAUAAA